GAUGUGUGCAGGUUGAACCAAAGUUAGAGGCGGCCUAACGCAACAGCGUGGAAGGGAGGGGGGAGGAAAGGAGGACCUCACAGAUGUAA
Non-coding RNA from Ceratotherium simum simum (southern white rhinoceros), 89 nucleotides. The record is from RefSeq and is a predicted model, not a curated record. Lineage: Eukaryota; Metazoa; Chordata; Mammalia; Perissodactyla; Rhinocerotidae.